AAUUAUCUACUCUACCAUCUGGGUUUUAUCCAAUUUGAAUAACCUCCAGCCAGUCAUCGCUUUCUUCCCCAACAUGUCACUCAAUCACAUCCUCUGCAAACACCGGUAUUUGUAAGUUCUCUUCUUCUACCGUUUUCUUUUCUGAAUCUACUCCACUUGGACCUCCCUCUUCCAAUCUCCACCUCUGAUUCCUCGGUCCAGCGCUAAAAAAGAACAAUUUAAUUUUAAAACGCCAAACUUCCAUCCCAUUGCGCAGCCACAAGAACAUAACCCGCCACAACGAAUGCGUCGGUUAUCUCCAUCGCCAUCCACUGGCUAUGGCCUAGGGUUUUCUAAUAGCAAAAGUAGACAAAGCAUCGAAUCAGGUAAAACCAACUUCAAUGAUCCUUUUUCAAAAUCGGAAUCCUCGAGUUCUUUUAUCUUUCGUUCAGUUGCCACAAAGGAGGCCGAUAGUGCCAAUGGAUAGAACUCUACUGCAAGAAAUUCAGCUGUAUCCAUGGAUCCUUUUCCAAAAUCGGAAUCCUUGAGUUCUUUUAGCUUUCCAGUUGAAAAGGGAAUAUGAUCGCUUGCUUCAUAUUGCCAUUUGAAAGAGAGUCUCACUACGCACCCCAACUGCUCGAUGAAAUGCUUGAACCAAGAUGCCUAGAAAAGAUCAGUUUUUUUCUUCUGGAAAUAUGAAAAAAAGGUAAUUUCCAUUUAGAGAGAUUGGGCGUUCCCUCUUAACCAGACUUUUUUUUUUGGUGUGACUUAUAAUUUGAGUUGGGGCAGGAUCAUAGCUGGAAAUUUGAAGAUUAAGCUCAAACUUUUCAGUAGGAAAAGAGAAUAGUGAAACUGGAUUGACAGAAGUUUAAAUAUGCUUGAGAGGCAGGGGUAUAACUGGAAAGUUGAAGGUCGGUAGAUGGUUAAAGAGUUUUAGAGGUAGGGGCAUAAUUGGGAAGUUGAAGGCAUGGAUUAAUCAGUAGGCGUCUUCUAAUCGAAUAUUAAUAGGGACAUAGUCGGGAUUUUUGCAACACAGCUUAACAAAUGGGUUUAGGUUGUACAGGUGUGGGCAGACGGGUCACAUGAGUAGGGAUUGCCCCAGGAGUGCAUUGAUUUGUUUUCACUACAACCUGACAAGCCAUAAAAAAUGUCGAUUGUUCGAGCUUGUCAGGAGGGCCGGUGGCAGUGCCUGCAUCAACCACCUUGAGGAUUACCGAUGGCUACCAGGGCAAGGCGAAGACACUUGUCGUGUAGUGCAGGGCUUUCCAGCUGACUACCGAUGAGGCUCGUGCAGCACCGGAUGUGGUUACCGGUAUGUAUUUUUUGUUAUAUCUUAUUUGCUUUCCUUAUUUAUGCUUAUAAUUAUAUCUAGUCCCAUAUAAGGACUUUCUUAGUCAAUGGUGUGACUGCUCAUGUUUUGUUUGAUUCGGGUGCUACUCGAUCCUUUGUAUCUCUUACGCUUAGCAUUAGUGAUGCUCCUCGGAUUUUAGAUUAUCCGUUGGAGGUCGAGAUUGCCGAUAAUCGUUAUGUGAGUGCUUCGAGGGUUCAUCGUGGGUGUGUUCUGAAUCUGUUCAACGAGAGGUACUCUAUUGAUUUGGUGUCAAUCCCUCUGCGAUAGUCGAAGGUUAUUAUUGGGUUGGACAGGUUAGGUUCCAAUGGUGUCGUGACUGACUGUGAGCGCCAACAAGUGAGAGUUCGAACCCCAAGUGGGGGAGAACUUGUUAUUCCUGGUGAGGGAAUUUCUCAUGGGCUGGCUCUCAGUUCAGCUAUGAUGGCCAGGAGAUAUCUUCGCAGGGUUGUUCUGGGUUUCUGGCCUAUGUGGCGGAUACACGGGUUGAGGGCACGACGACAUUGAGUGAGGUACCCAUUGUUCGGAAUUUCCCUGAUGUGUUUCCUGAGGAGUUGCCAGAAGUGCCUCCCAAGAGGCAAGUCGAGUUUCGUAUUGAUCUAGUGUUUGGUGCAACUCCAAUAGCCAAAGCACCAUAUCGUUUGGCACCACCAGAGAUGCAGGAUUUGUCUGUACAACUUCAGGAGCUUCUAGACAAUGGAUUUAUUCUGUAACGCCCGUGUUUCUGGGCUAGGAAUUAAUGACAAUGUAAUAGUCUAGGUUAACCUUUGUAACUCAUUUUGUUAUAAUAAGAAUGUAUUAUUUGAGUA
Long non-coding RNA from Lactuca sativa (garden lettuce), 2136 nucleotides. RefSeq lists it as uncharacterized. NCBI's taxonomy places the organism in Eukaryota, Viridiplantae, Streptophyta, Magnoliopsida, Asterales, Asteraceae. The record is from RefSeq and is a predicted model, not a curated record.